UCUUAUGUCAAAAAGUUGAAAUGAUUUGUCAAACAUCAACAUUUUUAUCAAAAUAACACAAUAUUCUAAACGGGGGAAUUAAAAUCUACAGUUGCUAAUCCCAUAGGAGUAAAUGACCUCAAUAUGGACAACAUUUCCCCACCUCCUAAUGCCUCCCCCGAGGAAAUUGAAGCGUGGAACCAGAUGAUGGACACCAUGGUAACCUUCAUAAAGGCCUCCACCAACCUAAUGAACACUAUUACCACUAAAGUAAGAUUUUCUAGUCAAGCAUGGAUGGGAACCAAGGGAGCGAAAGCUGUUGGAGGGUGCGAACCAGAAUGUGAGGCCUGUUUACCGAAGCCUCCACCGCCACCUUGUGGAGUUUGUACCGAAGAUAAUAAGACAGCAGCAAAAAAAGUUCCAUCUUCAAAAACUGGAGUUGCUAAGGAACCUUCUGGGUCACUGAAAUCAGCAUCAGCUGUAAAAUCCCCGUCAGCUGUUGCAGAGGCGGAACCAGCAUCCGCUGAAGGAGCAUCAUCGACAGACGCACAUGACAUUGCCUUUGUUUCAACAGAAGAAGAAACACCUGCCGAAGAUGUUCCCGCAGAAGAAGUCCCUGCAGUAGACGAUAAUGCUGAAGAAGCUCCUGGAGGAGAAGUUCCUGCAGAAGUAACGCCGACUGAUGAAGAGGCUCCAGCUGUUGUUGAAGAGGAUGAUGGCGAAAAUCAAGAAGCAGAAGAAGCCAAAAAAUUAGACGAAAAUGAACUACCUGAGAAAGAACCGGCUGGAGGUGAUAAUAGUAAAUGCUGCUGUAGUACCAUACGAGAAGAAAGGGCACAAAAUAAAAAAAGUCAUUGCAAGUGCAAGAAAAAGAAGAAAAAACGUGAUAUAUCCAGUGAAGCAGUUAUAGAAGAGGAACAAGAAGAUGAAGCAGAAGAAGUUGAAGAAGUUGAAAGGAAAUGUGGUUGCGGAGCCACCCCAGGAAAUAAGGAGUGGUUAAUGCAGGAAAUGGUAGUAAAGUUGGAAAAUGCGCAAAGCGAGAUUACCCAACUGCAAGAAGAACUCGCGAAACUUCAAAGAAUGGACAUGUCUAAGAAAGUUGGACCUCAUGCUACCCCGAAUCCAGCAAAACUAUAUCAAGAAAUUAUGAGAGGGUCGCAGCCACCUUCAUCGCCAACUUCUCGUAUGUAUCCGCAAAUGAUGCAGCCAAGUCUAUAUGCGGGAAAUAUGACAGGAUACCCCGAUAGUGGUUAUAAUGUUAGAACAAAUCAAACUAGAAUGCCAAAUCAAUCAGUUAACCAAUUACCCAAUCAAUCAAGAAAUCAGUUAAUAAGCCAAUCUCUAAACCGAGUACCUAAUCAGUCAGCAAAUCAGUCUGUAACUCAGCCCCCCAAUCAGUCAGGUAACUUACCGGGAAAACCAGACUGUGAUGCUCCAUGUGCAGGCCUAAGUAAAAAGGAGGAAUCGGAAACUUCGUUGGAUUGUGCUCCCGGAUGUGAUGGUCGAACGAAUUCAAGGACUGUAACAGGAUAUGGAAGUUCUAUGGCCACAGAUGCGAUUGACGAAUUCGUAUCAAGGAGCUGGUGGGCAGAAUAUGGGAGCUCGAUCCGCAACGCCUUAUCCAAAUGUUCAGCAGCCACCCAGAAGGAACUCCUGGGGCGGAAACCAGGCACAAAUGGAUCCCGCAGGAUAUAAUAGAGGCGCUCCUAACUUUGCCCAAGGGCAAAAUUUUCAACAGCAAAAUUACAUAGGAGGUGCUGCACCACCAGGUUAUCCUCUCAAUUUAGGACCAUCAGAUUAUUAUAACCUUAGGGGACAAUAUGGAGUACCUGCACAACCAUCAGUCAUAAGAGAAUCUGUUUUAUGUCCU
RNAcentral lists this unclassified non-coding RNA (1849 nucleotides) under Anthonomus grandis grandis. RNAcentral describes it as "fibrous sheath CABYR-binding protein-like". The record is from RNAcentral. Lineage: Eukaryota; Metazoa; Arthropoda; Insecta; Coleoptera; Curculionidae.